GAUUUCCUGCCUGGUUCGCGGACUUGCGUAUGAUAACCCUACACUUUUAAUUCGGGAGCUUAGCUCCGGCGGGGGACUGCAGACCUCCCGGCUUUGCCGGAAGAAGGGAGCGAGAAACCGUUGGGCGGGCACCCACCUGCUUACCGUAGGCAGGUUAUUCUCACACAUUACGGCCAGGCGGGGUCUCU
This 188-nucleotide non-coding RNA is filed under the name Anaeromassilibacillus sp. An200. Its description in RNAcentral is "6S / SsrS RNA". It matches the Rfam family "6S / SsrS RNA". Rfam says of the family: E. coli 6S RNA was the first non coding RNA to be sequenced, but its function was unknown until recently. The record is from Rfam by way of RNAcentral. RNAcentral also lists the same sequence under 1 other name. Lineage: Bacteria; Bacillati; Bacillota; Clostridia; Eubacteriales; Acutalibacteraceae.